This 228-nucleotide ribosomal RNA is filed under the name uncultured bacterium. RNAcentral's name for it is "partial 16S ribosomal RNA". It matches the Rfam family "Bacterial small subunit ribosomal RNA", at positions 15 to 236 of the family's 1533-position model. The record is from RNAcentral.
GAUCAUGGCUCAGGAUGAACGCUAGCUACAGGCUUAACACAUGCAAGUCGAGGGGCAGCAUGUCGGUUGCUUGCAACCGACGAUGGCGACCGGCGCACGGGUGAGUAACGCGUAUCCAACCUACCCUUGUCCAUCGGAUAACCCGUCGAAAGGCGGCCUAACACGAUAUGCGGUUCUCAGCAGGCAUCUAACGAGAACGAAAUGUGAAGGAGAAGGAUGGGAGUGCGU